UUUCUUCUUCCAUCUGAUGUUAUUGUUUUCUUUAUUUCAUUCUCAGAACUUCAUUGACCGAAAGUUAUUUUUUCACUUUCAAUUGUGAAUUUUAUGCAACUUGUGUUGCCAAAGUAAGCCACUUGGAUUCACAUUUUCAGCUUUGAUCUUUGUAGCUGGCUAUAUCAAAGGGCAUUGAAGAUGGAGAAGACCGUAAAUCUGCUCUCAUCAGGAAAUUGCGGCAGAAAACUAAAAUAACAUCAGUUGAAAUAAUUGCAAAGAUUCCACAAUGGUUGACUAUUACUUCCCACUAUCCGUAAAGGCCAAAGUAAACCGUCUUUGGGGGAGGAGAAUGGCAUGGACUAACACGGAAAUGAGGUUGCAGCAGAAAGCACAAGUCUAUAUGUAGCAAUUGCUGAUGGGAUUCUUGACUUAGUGGACAAGUUUUUACAUAUGCAAUGUCAUGAUGCAGUCAGAGCACUUGAAAUUUAUCAAAGGAGAGGAGAUCAGGCAUGUGCAUUUCCUUUGUAUACAUACCUAUUUUAAACUUGAUUCAUUGUGCAUAGCUUGUUCUGACACUUCAUGUGUGAUUCAGGCAGUCAAGCUAUCUAGCUAUCUGAAUUAUUUGAGAUAUGUAGGAAUCUUAACUUUGGACGAGGCCAAAACUACGUUAAAAUAGAAAAGGAUAUGAUGACAAAAAUACCAAGAUCAUUAUUGUUCCUGAGUCCAAAAUAGAGACUGUUCAAGAGCAAGAAAAUGAAGUACAAACGAAAGAAGAGUGUUACGCGGAGACUCCAGACCCACCUCUCAUUCCCGACCUUUUGAUAAGGACUUCUUUAUCUAAUUUGGUAGUAUAUAACUUCUAAAUGAAAAAAUGAGAUGUCCUAAUAGUUAAGCAUAGUUACUUAUGAAUAUUUGUAGUCUAUUGAUGAGCCAAGUAAAGAUCAUCGGUUGCACUGGAAGAUAACAAUGUCGUAGCAUUAGUUAUUAGUACACCAGGUAUAUUUUUCUUGCUUUUCGUCUUCUUUAUAUUAGUCUUAUUAUUUAUCAAAACAGAAGAAUUUAAGGUUUCUUCUCAAUAUAAUCAUUACAUUAUUUGUAGAUGAGUUUUCAAACUCUUUGAGCUGGGAAUGUCAAAUAACAUUUUGUCAUUGUUAAAAUGUGCUUCUAUAAAUGUGUCAAAGUUAAUUUACCGGGUACAAAAAUAAAAGAUUCCUUCCUUAACCAGUCAUCCAUAAUAUCAAAAAAAUUCUUAUAGUCUAUCUCUGAGCUUAUAGUGAUACACUUAUUCAAUUACUUUGACUAUUUUCGAGCACCUCAUGUCUUUUUCGGGCGACGAAUUGAUGUUUGUCUGUAUUUUAGAUAUUGACUAAUGAGAAGUUGGCACUUAGAAGCUAAGUUUCUUUCUACAGUGUAUUUUUCUUUGGACGGCACUUUUUAACUUUUUGGGGGUCAAAAUAUAAGAUUUUAAGGUACUGCCUACCGGGUAAUCAAUGUUAUCAAACUUUAUCCUAGUUUUCGUUUCUUUUAGUAUGAGCUUUUUCAAAGCCAAAAUAGCGUAAUGUUUUACUGUGAGUUUUGUACAUUGUACGGUGCACUGACAUUUUUUUUCUCAGGUUCCGCAUAUAAACAUGGUUUUGGCCAUUACUCAGCUAAGAACUAUGGACUUAGUUUAAUUGUAGCAUCCUUUUUGUAUUAGUGGAAAAUCAGAUGUUUGUUUCUUCCUCAUUCUCACGGAAUCAAGUUUAGGAAUAUAAUUGUACAACUUCCU
Molecule: long non-coding RNA, 1750 nt
Organism: Capsicum annuum
Lineage: Eukaryota; Viridiplantae; Streptophyta; Magnoliopsida; Solanales; Solanaceae
Exons: 7
Source: RefSeq, a predicted model, not a curated record